Molecule: RNA transcript, 1615 nt
Organism: Ziziphus jujuba (common jujube)
Lineage: Eukaryota; Viridiplantae; Streptophyta; Magnoliopsida; Rosales; Rhamnaceae
Gene name: protein-tyrosine-phosphatase PTP1
Exons: 9
Source: RefSeq, a predicted model, not a curated record
AUAAUAAUAAUAAUUUAAGAAAAUAGUUUAGAGCACCAACCAAAACAGUGAUUCUUCUUCAACAAAACUGGCACAACCAAUCACAAUUCACAAAACCCACAUUUUCUGAUUUCAUUUCCUCCAUUAACAAACUCCUUUCCAUUCUAACCGCUUCUGACUUUCUUCCCUUCCGUCCAACUGGGGAACGUUACUUCCCGGCGAUCCCGCAGCCACCGGAGAUCGGCCUCCGCCACCGCCGCCGCCGCCGCCGCCGCCAUGGCCAACGCUGCUGCUAUCCCUACUACUGUACCUUCUCCUUCUUUCGACUUCUCUCCGGACUCCCCUCCCAGGCUGGUUCUGACUCCGGAUCAGUACAAGUACUGCUCCGUAGCUCUCAAAUUUUUCAAGGAUAAGCUCCCUUUGCAUCACCAGAUUAACCAAGAGUUCGCUUCCUUGCAGGCCAAUAGGAUAACACCGUCUGAGAUGAGAAGGAAUUGCACGGUUGCGCUUGACAGUGUCAAUGUGAGCAAGAACCGAUACCCGGAUGUAUUGCCUUUUGACAAUAGUAGGGUAGUUCUCAACCCAUGCAAGGAUUAUAGACCUUCUGCUAGAGGCUAUAUUAAUGCCAGCUUCAUCAAGACUACUCCUGAUGAAGGCAUUUCUCAAUUUAUUGCUACUCAAGGUCCACUUCCCUACACCUAUGAGGAUUUCUGGGAGAUGGUGAUCCAGUGUCACUGCCCUGUGGUUGUGAUGCUUACUCGAUUGGUCGACAACUCCAGGAUGGUAAAAUGCGGAGACUAUUUUCAGGCAGAAGAUGGCCCUAGAGAAUUUGGUAAUAUAUGUAUUAACACUAAGUGGAUAAAACCUACUGAUACUUCUCUAGUGUUGCGCCAUUUGGAAGUGAGCUAUAGGGAGUCAGAGGAAGUUCCCAUGUCUGUUUUGCAUAUCCAAUAUCCUGAGUGGCCUGACCAUGGAGUUCCUGGAGACACAGUUGCAGUUCGUGAAAUUUUUAAAAGAAUACAUCAAAUACCAUCCAAUCUUGGCCCAAUUGUGGUGCACUGCAGGUAUUGGGAGAACUGGAGCAUACUGCACAAUUCACAAUACCAUCCAAAGAAUUCUGGCGGGAGACAUGUCUGCUUUAAAUCUUGUGAAAACCAUAACUAUUUUUAGGUCUCAACGAAUUGGCAUGGUUCAAACACUGGAGCAAUAUUAUUUCUGUCACUUAGCUAUCAUCGAUGAGUUGGAAGAUCUCAUUUCAGAAUUCAGAAGUGAAAGCUGUGCAAGUGUACCGGACCAAUGAUAGCAAUGUGGAGUGGAAGCUAAAACUGCAGCUACUUCCCUACUUAAGAAGUAUGGAAUGGUCCAGGUGGUUGAAUCUGAUGUCUUGUUGUUCAGGCUAAUUUGGGCCAUCUUCAUUUGAUAUGCUCUACCUUCUUUUAAUCUAGAAUCACCAGGGGAGCUUCUUCUUCUUGCUCCUCCUUUUUUUUUUUUUUUUUUUUGAGGUUUCUGCUUUCCUAUGUAAUGAUCCACUGCAGUAGUUAGAAAAAUUACUGUGAACUUAGUUCUUGAUUUCCUACAGGUUGUACAUUUCAAAUUGCUGCUUAUUUUAUAACGCGUUUAUAUCCUUGUGUCUCAA